This 105-nucleotide small RNA is filed under the name Atopobium deltae. RNAcentral describes it as "Streptococcus sRNA SpF41". It matches the Rfam family "Streptococcus sRNA SpF41". The record is from Rfam by way of RNAcentral. Lineage: Bacteria; Bacillati; Actinomycetota; Coriobacteriia; Coriobacteriales; Atopobiaceae.
UCGUAAUGGGUUGUCGUAUAGGAGGAGUACGCCUUGUUGGAGGAGACUCCGGUGCAAAUCCGGGCGCCCAUUACUCCAACCGCCCACAUGGGCGGUUUUUUUAUU